GAACUCGGCACAUUUCGGGGUUCUUGUCUUGGCCUUCAUAUACUAUCGCCUGCUUGGUCAUGGAGUCGAUGAGGCGAACGUAGAAAUCCUGUUCCGUCCUGAUCCCAUUGCUGUAGAGCAGCUGCAGGCGGUAGUGGAUCCCGUUGUUGGUCUUUUCGCUGUUAGCUUCCUUCUCCUUCUCCACGAAGCCCACGAAGGCGGUGCGCUCGAUCUCCACGGGCUGCCCCUGCCGGUCAUACAGAGCCAGGACGAAGUGGAAAAAGUUGGACUUCCUCAGGUUGGAAGGAGGCUGCUUCUCGAAGUGAGCCCGGGCCAGACCCACUCCGCUCUGCGCGGCCGUGCUGGCGUCCAGGACGCCCGCUCCCUGCAUCCACGUCCGCACCGCGUUCAUCCCCGCGCCGAGGGGCUCCUCCUUCAUGCUGCUCCCGCUCCGCUGGAUGCUUUCCUGGAUCCCAAACAUGAAUCAGAAACAACAGCGCAAAAUCUUCCUUCUUU
Molecule: long non-coding RNA, 495 nt
Filed under: Gallus gallus (chicken)
Lineage: Eukaryota; Metazoa; Chordata; Aves; Galliformes; Phasianidae
Source: RNAcentral